This 64-nucleotide transfer RNA is filed under the name Nannochorista philpotti. Its description in RNAcentral is "tRNA-Pro". The record is from RNAcentral. Lineage: Eukaryota; Metazoa; Arthropoda; Insecta; Mecoptera; Nannochoristidae.
CAGAAAAUAGUUUAUUAAAAUAUUAAUUUUGGAGAUUAAAGAUAAAGAAUUUCUUUUUUUCUGA